CAUUAAAUGACUGAAAGUAAGUAUUGAUUUUUUAAAUCAAAUUAUAUUAGAGUAACAUCUAUUUUUAAUGA
RNAcentral lists this transfer RNA (71 nucleotides) under Myrmecia forficata. Its description in RNAcentral is "tRNA-Lys". Lineage: Eukaryota; Metazoa; Arthropoda; Insecta; Hymenoptera; Formicidae. The record is from RNAcentral.